Podarcis lilfordi (Lilford's wall lizard) is the source of this 67-nucleotide non-coding RNA. NCBI's taxonomy places the organism in Eukaryota, Metazoa, Chordata, Lepidosauria, Squamata, Lacertidae. The record is from the annotation of a GenBank genome assembly.
GGAUAGCUCAUUUGGUAGAGCAGGAGGCUCUUAAUCUGAAGGUUGUGGGUUCGAGUCUCACACACCU